RNAcentral lists this ribosomal RNA (497 nucleotides) under uncultured bacterium. RNAcentral's name for it is "partial 16S ribosomal RNA". It matches the Rfam family "Bacterial small subunit ribosomal RNA", at positions 28 to 507 of the family's 1533-position model. The record is from RNAcentral.
GAUGAACGCUGGCGGCGUGCCUAAUACAUGCAAGUCGAGCGAACAGACGAGGAGCUUGCUCCUCUGACGUUAGCGGCGGACGGGUGAGUAACACGUGGAUAACCUACCUAUAAGACUGGGAUAACUUCGGGAAACCGGAGCUAAUACCGGAUAAUAUAUUGAACCGCAUGGUUCAAUAGUGAAAGACGGUUUUGCUGUCACUUAUAGAUGGAUCCGCUCCGCAUUAACUAGUUGGUAAGGUAACGGCUUACCAAGGCAACGAUGCGUAGCCGACAUGAGAGGGUGAUCGGCCACACUGGAACUGAGACACGGGCCAGACUCCUACGGGAGGCAGCAGUAGGGAAUCUUCCGCAAAGGGCGAAAGCCUGACGGAGCAACGCCGCGUGAGUGAUGAAGGUCUUCGGAUCGUAAAACUCUGUUAUUAGGGAAGAACAAAUGUGUAAGUAACUAUGCACGUCUUGACGGUACCUAAUCAGAAAGCCACGGCUAACUACGUG